UUUUAAAAAAUCGUUAUUUCUUUGAAAAGAGAGAGAAAGAGAAAGAUAAGAGGAGAGAGAGAGAGAGAGAGAGAGAGAGAGAGAGAACACGGUCACGAACAAAGGAUUCACUCGGUUCUUCGACAAUGGAGUAUUGUUUGAACAAUAAUUAGCUGCCUAAGAGUGCGUCUGUAUUUAGACGUAGAAUUCUAUACCUCGGGUGAGUUUGGAGUGGUCGUGUUGAUAUGAUCUGGUAAACAAAUCCUCAGAUCCCGCUCGUCUAACUCACUCUCAGUGUCGAUGCUAAAACUUCGAACGGGUUGAUGAUCACCAUGGCCGGUCCAACGUUGUUUCCAACUUUCUAACCUCAUGACCUGUGAAAAUAUAUAAUACAAAACUGUAAUGUGUACCAUUCGAUUCGUUCGAUAUCAUCGAGCGUCUUCUUCGUUUUUCCUCGUCCUAUUUCUGUCAUUCUGUCCUUCGCUUAUCAAAACAGCAACAAAAAUUUAUACUCGGGCAAACGAUUUUUCCUAAAAACGACGCUAGAUCGAUAACGACGAAAUCGUUUUUAUCGACACUGAUGAUCAUAUGAUCCUAUUUCGUAUACAUUAUAAAAAUUAUUCUUACGAUCGAGAUAUAACAUUAUUAUAUACAGUAUCCGUUUGAACUUGCUUACAUUAGCAAUGAUAUUAUUAUCAAUUUAUAAACGAUAAUGAAAUCUUUAAUAUUAUUUGACAUAUACGUCAUAUACGAAAUACGAACGUAUGAACCGAUUUUAUACGACCACCCUACAUUUUCUAAAAAUGAACGAACGAAGCCUCUUAUAUGUAAUACUUUGUUGUAUUUUUGAAUGAUCUUUAAGAUCGAUUCCUACGAUUUACGUUAGUGUUAUUCUACUGAUAACAAUGGCGACGCAAAAUAGUGCAAACGACACAUGCGGCUAUUAUUGUAUGGACGAUGCGACAUUCUUGUGCUUAUGAUUAAUUACAGCAUCGGCUAAGCGAUAUCAUAACGAAUUACGAAAGAAAUUAUUCGUGCGUAUAUGUAGCGCGAUUGAAAAGUAAAAACAUUGAAAUAAAAUGAGGAAAUAAAGUAAGAAAAAAAUAAAGAAACGAACGAAAACAUGUGAAAUAUAUGUAUGUAGGAUAGUGAUACAAACAUGCAGUAUUAUCAAAGACCCAAUACCUAUUAAUUAUUAUAAUUAUUAUUAUCAUCCGCUGGAAAAUAGGAAUAAGAAAGACGUAAUAUUUGGUUAUAAUUAAUAAUUUCAAGAUACACGUAUAUAUUUCGCGAACCGUCUUGACUAACAACCGACUUGAGAGGUAGCGUAGGAAUGCCUAUGAUUAUUUACAUUACGAAUUCUUAUAUACAAUCUUAUACAUCUAUGAAAGUCAAAACUAAAUGACACGAGAUAAACAAAUCAAGAAAAAAACAAGAAAAAAAGAUACGAUUCCUUUCGUGGAACUCUACUUAUUGUUAUCAUGGGUAAAGACUUACUCGACCCAGCGCCAAGGCUCAGUCUCCGGGCUGGUGAUUGGCGUAGGGAACUAAGGAGACAGAGAUAACACAGCAGUAGAGGGUUAGUUUUACAGAAACGAUUAGAUCCUUCUAUUAGUAUUAACGUAGUGCCUUGGUACCUUUAUACACUAAGGAUUAGCAGUGUAGUCCUUCUUGUUCUCAUUACACGCUUUACGUAAUAUCUUCCAACAUGAACAAAAGUUAUCAUAUUAUUAUUUAAUAAAUUCUAUAUAUCCUAGAAUUGUCUUCAAAGUAUUCCGACUUAAUAUUUCACUUAACUCUAUAGUAUGUGUAUUCUCUAUGCUGUGCUAACUCUCACCAACUAAUGCAACAUUUUCAAAGGGCAAUGGGUGAGACGGAUGAAUUUUUAAUGAAUGUUGUCAACGAUCAAUGUUGAACUUGGCUCUAUUAAGAACGUUAUUAGUAAUAAUAUAUUAUCUUUUACAAAACUAUACACAAAACUAUAUAAAAUAUUACAUAUAUUCUGUCUAGAAAAGCGUUAAUCUAACAAUGUUGUUACAUACUUCUGUGAAUAGAUAUGAAGAAAUAAAUGGUGUUUAAUGGUAACAAUAGCUUAAUAUAAACCAGCGCAGUGGCAAUGUAUAAAAGCAUCUUUUAUGACUUGAUGUGCCAUAAUUUGAUACUUAUAUCUGCAAAAAUGAAAUAUAUAAAGAAAAAUAAUCACUUGAGAAAUAAGUAAAAGCUGUGUGAAUAAUUUUGGCCUUAGCAAAUUCGGAAUGGGAUGAACUUUCAUUCAAAGGAAGUCAAUAUCACGAUAAACGAUAAAUGACGUAACGUACUGCGUCCUUAAUGCAUAGAGGUACCUGUUCGAUCACAUUAUUUUCACACACGAUGUCACAAAAGCUGUGUUGGUGUGAUUAUGUAUACCAACUGCAACUAAUAAUGGAUGCUACAAAUAUACUCUAUAUAUAAAUAAGUAAACUAUAUACUGAAACGAUAAAAAUGCGUUCGUUCAGUCUCGUGUACACGUGUGUGUCAAAAUGUAGUAAAGUCUCUAAUCUAAAGGAUUGUUAGAACGAGGAAUGACCUUCCACCAAAGGCUAAAACUGAGAAAACAUAUAGAUGUUAUGAAUGAAAGUUAUAAACGAUAAGAUUAAACGUAUCCAAAACCGAUCGAAUUAUUUUUCAUCUUGCCGUUAUCAUGUAUUCAAAUUUAUUAGAAAAGAAGCACAAUUUACAAUACCUUUUUGCCCCACUGACGUUUUACAAUGAAUACACACCAAUUAAUAAUUUUACAAAUUUUACUGGUCAACAUUUAAAGACAUGCACAAAAAUUUAGAAAAUAUUUUUUAUCUCUGAAGUUAUUCACAAUUGGAUUGAAAUUCAUAUAAAUAGAAAAUCUUUGAUAUGGGUAGGAUGUGCAUCAAAUUUGGAGGCAAACAUGUAAAAAAAAAUGCAUGAAAAGCAGUACCAUUGAAUAUUAGUAAGAACAUUAAAUAAGUGAUAUUUUGAUAUCUUAAUUUUCAGCUUUUAUAUAUAAACAUUUUAUCCUAUUCUCAAAGUAUUAGUGAGUUGUUAUGUGUAUGAAUCAAGUAGAGAAAUAACCAAAUUAUAAAAACUUAGUUCGUAUUACGCUAUUAGAUAAUACAUCUUUACUCUGUUCACUAUUUAAACUUAUUACGAGAAGAUAUGCGGGGGUUUUCAAUAUUUACGAACUACAAGCUUAACAUCUUCUAAUUUUUAUACGCAUAUAUGUAGACAUAACGUCUAUUUAUAUCUUGGGGUACUAAGAAACGAUUGUUAAUCUAUAGGCUCCUACAGUUACAGCUACUUCUAUAUAAUCUGUCAAAAAUUACAGGUUUUGUAUUUAAAUACAAUAAACGUAAUAAUAAUUUUUAAUUAAAAAAUAAUAAACUUUCGAAUUAAUAUCUUUAAGCUAAUAUGAAAAAUUGAUAUUCUAACUAAUCCUAAUUUUCUCUUUAAAUAGCAUUCCUUGUAGAGAUCAUAUUAGGUUUAUUGUCGUUCAUAUGCAAAAAACUUACCACCUUAUCUAGUAAUAUACGAAUAAUAAUGAUAAUGACAGAUGUGAUUAACGAAUAUUAUCCAAGUUUGUCAUGAUCAUGAUCAUAAAUGACAAAACUUCACCCCUUACUGCAACUUUUAAAAUUGCUUCUAUGUGAUGCAAUUAAUAAUAUAACUCUGUCUAGCUUAUUCUCAAUCAAUUUUCUCUACUUACCUCUGCUUUUAGUUCCGCAACUUUAUCUUGGAGUUCUCUUACUCUCUCACUGUCAUCUAA
This is a long non-coding RNA of Vespa velutina, 3754 nucleotides long. RefSeq lists it as uncharacterized. Lineage: Eukaryota; Metazoa; Arthropoda; Insecta; Hymenoptera; Vespidae. The transcript has 4 exons. The record is from RefSeq and is a predicted model, not a curated record.